RNAcentral lists this ribosomal RNA (515 nucleotides) under uncultured bacterium. RNAcentral describes it as "partial 16S ribosomal RNA". It matches the Rfam family "Bacterial small subunit ribosomal RNA", at positions 28 to 523 of the family's 1533-position model. The record is from RNAcentral.
GACGAACGCUGGCGGCGUGCCUAAUACAUGCAAGUCGAGCGGACUUUCAAGAAGCUUGCUUUUUGAAAGUUAGCGGCGGACGGGUGAGUAACACGUGGGCAACCUGCCUGUAAGACGGGGAUAACUCCGGGAAACCGGGGCUAAUACCGGAUAAUAUCUUUCUUCGCAUGAAGGAAGGUUGAAAGGCGGCGCAAGCUGCCGCUUGCAGAUGGGCCCGCGGCGCAUUAGCUAGUUGGUGAGGUAACGGCUCACCAAGGCGACGAUGCGUAGCCGACCCGAGAGGGUCAUCGGCCACACCGGGACUGAGACACGGCCCAGACUCCUACGGGAGGCAGCAGUAGGGAAUCGUCCGCAAUGGACGAAAUUCUGACGGAGCAACGCCGCGUGAGCGAAGAAGGUCUUCGGAUCGUAAAGCUCUGUUGUCAGGGAAGAACAAGUACCGUUCGAAUAGGGCGGUACCUUGACGGUACCUGACCAGAAAGCCACGGCUAACUACGUGCCAGCCGCCGCAGUAA